UACGUAGGGUGCGAGCGUUAAUCGGAAUUACUGGGCGUAAAGGGCUCGUAGGCGGCCAACUAAGUCAUACGUGAAAUCCCUCAGCUUAACUGGGGAACUGCGUGUGAUACUGGAUGGCUUGGAUUUGGGAGAGGGAUGCAGAAUUCCAGGUGUAGCGGUGAAAUGCGUAGAUAUCUGGAGGAAUACCGGUGGCGAAGGCGGCAUCCUGGACCGAGAUUGACACUGAUGAGCGAAAGCCAGGGGAGCAAACGGG
Molecule: ribosomal RNA, 253 nt
Filed under: uncultured bacterium
Lineage: Bacteria
Description: partial 16S ribosomal RNA
Rfam family: Bacterial small subunit ribosomal RNA
Source: RNAcentral